GGUACCACUUUUUAUUUUGUUGACAGAUACUGUGUUUAUUAAAUAAAUACGGCACACCUAGCUACUUGGAAAAGAAAAAAAUUAUCGCACAUAUAAAAGACAUGAACUAAAGUGCAAUCUAAUUUAUUAUACAUAUUUAACAAACAUAGAAUAUUGAGGGUAAGAUGGAGUUGAAGAAGUAGAAAAACAGUGAGAGAUAAGUAAAAGAAAAGGCAUAAAACACGGGACAAUCAAACUCAAACAUCGGAGUGGGAAACCUCUUCAGUAGCAGUAGCACUCUGCUCAUCACCAUCAUCAUCAACUUCUGCUUCCUGAUCAUCCUCAUCAGCAUCAACAUCAACAUCAACAUCAACUUCUGCUUCCUGAUCAUCCUCAUCAGCAUCAACAUCAACAUCAACAUCAACUUCGGCUGCCUGAAUAUCCAGUGGAGCAGGAUCUGAUUGUAAUUCCUCACCAGUUUGCUCCUCAAACUCAGUUGCGCCUCUCUUGGAAGUGAUGGUGCGGCCAACUCUAUUAUCAGACGCUGCCAUGUCAACCAACGCACCACGACGAUCAUUUACUUUAGGCUUCCUGGCCAUUGCUGCUAUCUUCUUCCCAUCAUUUCCCUUUUUUGGAAUAAUCGACCUCAAUAUUACUUGCUUAUUCUCAUCCUCAUUUGCCUCGGAUUCUUUCAUUUCCUGCUCCUCAAAUAUUGGAGCAUGCUUUCCAGCCUCGAGUAGCGACUCGUAAGGCAUUUCCUCUGUCGCAUUCCCCUUCUCAUCAAUUCCCAUCUUCACCAACGCACUACUGAGACUGAGGGCGGAGCUCUUUCCUUGAGCUGCGUGAGUUUUCAGAUUAUUUCCCUUUUUUGGAUUAAUCUUUUUCUCCACACUCCCCAAAUCAUCCAUAUUCUUAUACUUUUGCGACAACAACCUCUCAUCCCCAAACACACCUGCAGCAACAUUGAGGGUCGAGCUCAUCUCUUGAAGUUGAUCACACGACAAUGGACUAAUAUUCUGGGACUCAUAAUUCAUUUCCUGCUCGGUCUCUAUGGGGUAUUCUUCCUCAUUCCUUGAUUCAUCUACCUCAAAUUGGGACAUCUCCUUAUGAUCAUCAACUACCUUGUUCAAUGCAUCACUCAUCUUUGCCUUAUCCUGCUCAACGUGACUUGUACUUUUACGCCCUUUAUUCCCUUUCAAUGCACCACCCAUUAAUGCUUUCGCUCCUUCACCGGCACCCUUUAUAUUCUUCGCCACGUUGCUCCUAUUCCCUAACGCCUCAUAAUUCUCUACAAGCAUCACCUCCUCUGCGGACCUCAUUUCCUGUUUGUCUUCCUCGGCUUCAUCUUCAUCAUUCAUCGUUUCAACCUCACCACUACAUUUAUCAUGCAGUAUAUCCUCAUAAUCAACUGCCGUAUUCUUAGCAACAAUAUUGAGGGCCGCCCUCCCUACUUUCACAUGUUGAAGUUGAUCAAGCUUUAUAUUCUUAGGCACCGGUCUAUUGCGCUCAUCACGCCUCUUGAGUAACGACAAUGGACUUUUCUCCUCCAUCAUGCUAUCAUCACCGACCACCAUUUGUAUUCCUUGCUCGGUUUUUGCCAGGUAUUCUUCCUCAUCACCCUCUUUAUCAUUCAUCGUCUCUACCUCCUCAUUCCUUGAUUCAUCGCCUUCUUCACCCAUCUGCAGAUAUGCGAAUAUGGGUAUAUCCUUAUAAUCAACUGCCUUGUUCACCUGUCCCUUCAUCUUUCCCUUAGCCUGUUCAGCUUGAGUUGUACUCUUACGCCUUACAUUUCCCUUCAUCAACUGCUCAUGCUUUAUUGGAAUCUUCUCUUUCAUUUGUUGGCCUGAGAUAUUCUUAUACUCUUGCGACAACAACCUCUCAUCCCCAAACUCACCUGCAGCAACAUUGAGGGCCGAGCUCAUCUCUUGAAGUUGAUCAUGCAACAAUGGACUCUUGUCCUCCACCAACAUCAUCAUGCUAUCAUCACCACCCACCAUUUGUUGCUCCUUCCCACGCUUGAUAUUCUGGGACUCAUAAUUCAUCUCCUCUGCAGACCACAUUUCCUGCUCGAUCUCUGUGGUGUAUUCUUCCUCAUUCCUUGAUUCAUCCACCUCAAAUCGAGACAUAUCCUUAUAAUCAACUGCUUUGCUCACUGUAUCACUCGUUUUUCCCUUAGCCUGCUCAACUUGAAUAGUACUCUUACGCCCUUUAUUCCCCUUCAAUGCACCACUCAUUACUUUUGCUCCUCGACCGGCCACCUUUAUAUUCUUCACCACAUCGCUCCCCUUCCCAAACGCCUCGUAAUUCUCUACAGGCACCAUCUCCUCUGCGGAUCUCAUCUCUUGUUUAUCUUCCUCAACUUCAUCUUCAUCAAUCAUCGUUUCAGCCUCACCACUACAUUCAUCCAGAUCAUCCUGCGGCAUAUCCUCAUCAUCAACUGCCAUAUUGAGGGUCGACCUCUGUGCUUUCACCUGUUGAAGUUGAUCGCUCUUUAUAUUCUUGGGCAUUGGUCUAUUGCAGUCAUCAAGACCCUUGAGUAACGACAAUGAGUUCUUCUCCUCCACCAUGUUAUCAUCACCAACCACCAUUUGUAAUCCUUGCUCGGUUUUUGCUGGAUAUCCUUCUUCCUCACCCUCGUCAUCAUUCAUCGUUUCUACAUCCUCAUUCCUUGAUUCAUCAUCUUCUUCACCCCCCUGCAGAUUUGCGAAUCCAAGAAUAUCCUUAUAAUCAACUGCCUUGUUCACCUGCCCCUUCAUCUUCCCCUUAGCCUGAGUUGAACUUUUACGCCUUACAUUCUCCUUCACCAACUGCUCAUGCUUUAUUGGAAUUUUCUCUUUCAUUUCUUGGCCUGAGAUAUUCUUAUACUCUUUGGUGGCAUCAUUCACUGGUUCCUGCUCCGGCACAUUCUGGUUGUCUUCCUUGGCUUGAUCUUCAUCAUUCAUUGUUUCAGGGAUGAGGCCGCCUGCUUCAUCAACACCACUCAUCUCAUCUCCUUUAGCCUGCUCAUCUUGAGUUGCCGAGUUCAUCUCUUGAAGUUGAUCAUGCAACAAUGGACUCUUGUCCUCCACCAACAUCUUCAUGCUAUCAUCAACACCCACCAUUUGUUGCUCCUUCCCACGCUCGAUAUUCUGGGACUCAUAAUUCAUCUCCUCUGCGGACCACAUUUCCUGCUCGAUCUCUGUGGUGUAGUCUUCCUCAUUUCUUGAUUCAUCAACCUCAAAUGGAGACAUAUCCUUAUCAUCAACUGCCUUGUUCAAUGUAUCACUUGUUUUUCCCUUAGCCUGCUCAACUUGAAUAGUAUUCUUACGCCCUUUAUUCCCCUUCAAUGCACCACUCAUUACUUUUGCUCCUCCACCGGCCGC
Molecule: long non-coding RNA, 3341 nt
Filed under: Salvia miltiorrhiza (redroot sage)
Lineage: Eukaryota; Viridiplantae; Streptophyta; Magnoliopsida; Lamiales; Lamiaceae
Description: long non-coding RNA (SMIL_LNC005575)
Source: RNAcentral